RNAcentral lists this transfer RNA (72 nucleotides) under Nelumbo nucifera (sacred lotus). It matches the Rfam family "tRNA". From Rfam's summary of the family: Transfer RNA (tRNA) molecules are approximately 80 nucleotides in length. Their secondary structure includes four short double-helical elements and three loops (D, anti-codon, and T loops). Further hydrogen bonds mediate the characteristic L-shaped molecular structure. tRNAs have two regions of fundamental functional importance: the anti-codon, which is responsible for specific mRNA codon recognition, and the 3' end, to which the tRNAs corresponding amino acid is attached (by aminoacyl-tRNA synthetases). tRNAs cope with the degeneracy of the genetic code in two manners: having more than one tRNA (with a specific anti-codon) for a particular amino acid; and 'wobble' base-pairing, i.e. permitting non-standard base-pairing at the 3rd anti-codon position. The record is from Rfam by way of RNAcentral. Lineage: Eukaryota; Viridiplantae; Streptophyta; Magnoliopsida; Proteales; Nelumbonaceae.
GGGGAUGUAGCUCAGAUAGUAGAGCGCUCGCUUAGCAUGCAAGAGGUACGGGGAUUGAUACCCGCAUCUCCA